This 1243-nucleotide ribosomal RNA is filed under the name metagenome. RNAcentral's name for it is "bacterial LSU rRNA". It matches the Rfam family "Bacterial large subunit ribosomal RNA", at positions 1564 to 2815 of the family's 2925-position model. The record is from RNAcentral.
UGAAUACGAGAUGCUACGGCGUCGAAGCAGUGUAUGUCAGACUUCCAAGAAAAGCUCGCAAUGUCAUAAAUAAAGAAUGCCUGUACCAUAACCGACACAGGUGGGUAGGUAGAGUAUACUAAGGGGCGCGAGAUAACUCUCUCUAAGGAACUCGGCAAAAUAACUCCGUAACUUCGGGAGAAGGAGUGCCUCCUAUUAGAAGGUUGCAAUAACAAGAUCCAAGCAACUGUUUAUCAAAAACACAGGUCUCCGCUAAGUCGUAAGACGAUGUAUGGGGGCUGACGCCUGCCCAGUGCCAGAAGGUUAAAGAAGUUGGUUAGCUUUGGCGAAGCUGAUGACUGAAGCCCUGGUGCACGGCGGCCGUAACGAUAACGGUCCUAAGGUAGCGAAAUUCCUUGUCGGGUAAGUUCCGACCCGCACGAAAGGCGUAAUGAUUUGGAUACUGUCUCGGAGAGGGACUCGGUGAAAUAGACUUGUCUGUGAAGAUGCGGACUACCUGCACCAGGACAGAAAGACCCUAUGAAGCUUUACUGUAACUUGAAAUUGAAAUUGGACUUUAUUUGCGCAGCAUAGGUGGAAGGCGUUGAGAUUACUCUUGCGGGAGUACUGGAGCCAUCAGUGAGAUACCACUCCUAUAAUGUUAGAUUUCUAACUUUGGAUCAUGAUCUGGUCAAAGAACAGUUUCAGGCGGGCAGUUUGACUGGGGCGGUCGCCUCCCAAAUGGUAACGGAGGCGUACAAAGGUUUCCUCUGAACGGGUAGAAAUCGUAUCUAGAGUGUAAAGGCAUAAGGAAGCUUGACUGUGAGACCUACAAGUCGAGCAGGGACGAAAGUCGGUCUUAGUGAUCUGACGGUGCUGAGUGGAAAGGCCGUCACUCAACGGAUAAAAGUUACUCUAAGGAUAACAGGCUGAUCUCCCCCAAGAGUUCACAUCGACGGGGAGGUUUGGCACCUCGAUGUCGGCUCAUCGCAUCCUGGGGCGGUAGUACGUCCCAAGGGUUGGGCUGUUCGCCCAUGAAAGCGGUACGCGAGCUGGGUUCAGAACGUCGUGAGACAGUUCGGUCCAUAUCCGGUGUAGGCGUUAGAAUAUUGAGAGGAGCCUUCUUUAGUACGAGAGGACCGAGAAGGACAUACCUCUGGUGUACCAGUUACCGUGCCAACGGUAAACGCUGGGUAGCUAUGUAUGGAGAGGAUAACCGCUGAAAGCAUCUAAGUGGGAAGCCCACCUCAAGAUGAGUAUUCCC